GAUGAACGCUGGCGGCGUGCUUAACACAUGCAAGUCGCACGAGAAAGGGACUUCGGUCCUGAGUACAGUGGCGCACGGGUGAGUAGCACGUGAAUCAUCUACCUUCGAGUGGGGAAUAACUGAGAGAAAUCUUAGCUAAUACCGCAUAACACUUACGAGUCAAAGCAGCAAUGCGCUUGAAGAGGAGUUCGCGGCAGAUUAGUUAGUUGGUAGGGUAAUGGCCUACCAAGACGAUGAUCUGUAUCCGGCCUGAGAGGGCGCACGGACACACUGGAACU
Molecule: ribosomal RNA, 278 nt
Filed under: uncultured bacterium
Lineage: Bacteria
Description: partial 16S ribosomal RNA
Rfam family: Bacterial small subunit ribosomal RNA
Source: RNAcentral